GAGGGUAUAGCUCAGUGGUAGAGCGUGUGCUUGGCCUGCACAAGGUUCUGGGUUCGAUCCCCAGUACCCGCA
Camelus ferus (Wild Bactrian camel) is the source of this 72-nucleotide transfer RNA. It matches the Rfam family "tRNA". From Rfam's summary of the family: Transfer RNA (tRNA) molecules are approximately 80 nucleotides in length. The record is from Rfam. Lineage: Eukaryota; Metazoa; Chordata; Mammalia; Artiodactyla; Camelidae.